UCUCUUUUUAGUACAUUUUAUUUAUGGGUACAAAGCUUUCGGAAAGACGCGAUGAAUAAUGCGUCAAAACCGCAGCGGUUAUGUAAAUAAAUAUAGAAUAUAUAAGUUGCGUCAAAGUAUUCGACCGCAAUCUAUUUCCUGCUGUACAGGCUUCCUAUAUUGCAUCAUAACAGGCGCGGUUACCAAGCUCCCAAAGAAAGUGAUCCCAAAAAAAAUUUCUGCUCGCG
Non-coding RNA from Paramuricea clavata, 227 nucleotides. The record is from the annotation of a GenBank genome assembly. NCBI's taxonomy places the organism in Eukaryota, Metazoa, Cnidaria, Anthozoa, Malacalcyonacea, Plexauridae.